AUACUGGCGUAGGGGAUACCGUGAUCAUGAAGGCGGUUCCCCCAGAGCGAGGCCUAUCCAUUGCACUGCGGAUGGGUUGACCUCUGCGAUUAUCCCUAAUGCGGAUAACUCGGACGCGUAAUUUUUGGUCUCUAGUCUUGGAAGACUCGGACCAC
Nymphalis io (European peacock) is the source of this 155-nucleotide small nuclear RNA. RefSeq annotates it as U1 spliceosomal RNA. NCBI's taxonomy places the organism in Eukaryota, Metazoa, Arthropoda, Insecta, Lepidoptera, Nymphalidae. The transcript has a single exon. The record is from RefSeq and is a predicted model, not a curated record.